CGGCGGAGGCUCAGCAGGAGUAAGUCCUGACUGCGGCGGAGUCCAGCCUCUGCGCUCCCGCCACGCUGCCUGGUCCGACAAGCACGGGAGGAAGCGUGCAAACAGCGUGCGAUUCAGAGAGCGCCUGGACUUCCCUUUUGCUGUAUCCGCGAGGACGGUACUCGGUACUCGGGCAAUAGUAACAGCGGCCCCGUGACGGCCCCCCCCAAGGGGACGACGGCCUGGAGGCCCCGCGCUCUGCUGCCCCAGGGGGACCCGCCUGCUCUCUCUCCCCGGGGAGCCUCCCCCAGCGGCCCCGGCAGUGGGCAGAGGGCAGAGGACGGGGACUUGGCAACAAAGCGGAAGCCCAGUGUCAGUUUCCACCCGAAAGGAUGUCACCACUGACGUUUUUUUUCUUGUCAAGAAACAGGCUGCAGGGCCCAAUAGGUCCAGCAGGAACACAUCUUACCAACAUUUGGCCGUGGUUCCAGAAAGGGCUUAAGACAGCUGGUGCUGCUGAUUGGAGCAGAUUUUUUUUUUUUUUUAAAGCCACUGAUUUGGACGUUUUAUUUUACUUUAUUUAUUUAUAUUUGGCCAUGCCACGUGGCACACAGGAUCUUAGUUUCCGACCAGGGAUCGAACCCGCGCCCCCUGCAUUGGAAGCAUGGAGCCUUAACCACUGGACCGCCAGGGACGUCCCCCAGAUCAUCUUUCUAAACCCUUCUGAUCCUAAGAACCCCAGAGACCUGCUGCACUUUGCCUUCAAAAGCCAUGAAAACAACCCAUUUUAACAGUUUACGCCUUCUUUAUCACACAAGGGUAAAAAGUCUUCUCCCAUAUAACAUAUUGCCUACACCUCUUUCUAGGAGUAUUUUUAAUUUAUCAAAACUCUAAUGUGAACAUCACUGUGAGCAUUUAACAGCGAAAUGCGAUUUAUAACGAGGAGAAUGGAAAUGAAGCAGUGAGGAAAAUAAGAAAGCACUCAUUUAGACUAUCCAAUAAAUUGAAGGCCAAGCUACGGUUAAAAUCUGUAAAAAUGAACUGCAUGCUCCUUGGAAGAAAAAUGCUAUUUAAAAAAAAAAAAAAAUUUGCUGGGUUCCCCCUGGGUUCCCUCCCACCCCCCGGGUUAAGCACAUUAUUGAAUUCCGGCACCGAGAUCCAGCUUUUUAAUAAAAAUGCUGCCCUGUAAGCCACCCUCACUAAAGUGUCCAGCUUAU
This is a long non-coding RNA of Eubalaena glacialis (North Atlantic right whale), 1196 nucleotides long. RefSeq lists it as uncharacterized. The transcript is spliced from 3 exons. The record is from RefSeq and is a predicted model, not a curated record. Lineage: Eukaryota; Metazoa; Chordata; Mammalia; Artiodactyla; Balaenidae.